ACUAGUAUAGGUUCCUGUACUUGUCGAACUCCGUCCAGAUGCAAAGAGCUUUCAACUCCAACCACCUAACUGAUGAAGCUUUUCGAUGCGUCGAACUGAUUGUGGGAUUUUUUCUUGAAAGCACCAAUGUGCCUGCAAUAGAGGAUCAUUCAUAGAGGGAACUAGUGAACAUCAUGAAGCUUUUGUCAAGGGUAUGUAAUAAAAAAAGUUGGAAACUUCACGGCAUAACCAUGGCUCCAAAAGUGGAAUGGCAAGACCAGCUGCACCAUUUCCCCUAAGUAUCAGGCUUUGCAUAACCAAACUCCAUAAUAAAAGCGUGCAGCUAUCGUGAUUUCAGCAAGAAGCCACAGCAGCAAGUUGGCACUUUUGGAUGUUCAAUCCUACAAUGUUCAGCUAAAUGCUUAUCUGCAAUCAAAUAUAAGCAUCAUUAGACGUAUAUAAGCACAACUGAAUAGACUCAAAUGAAACAGAAACCAUCUAAGACGUACAUACUGGUUACAACUCCAAGGUUAGCUGCCAAAAGUUGAAACACAACACAUGAAGCCAGCAGGAUAAUCCGAAGUAG
Molecule: long non-coding RNA, 565 nt
Filed under: Linum usitatissimum (flax)
Lineage: Eukaryota; Viridiplantae; Streptophyta; Magnoliopsida; Malpighiales; Linaceae
Description: long non-coding RNA (LUSI_LNC008235)
Source: RNAcentral